GCAAGUCGAGCGGCAGCACAGGUACUUGUACCGGGUGGCGAGCGGCGGACGGGUGAGUAAUGCCUAGGAAUCUGCCUGGUAGUGGGGGAUAACGCUCGGAAACGGACGCUAAUACCGCAUACGUCCUACGGGAGAAAGCAGGGGACCUUCGGGCCUUGCGCUAUCAGAUGAGCCUAGGUCGGAUUAGCUAGUUGGUGGGGUAAUGGCUCACCAAGGCGACGAUCCGUAACUGGUCUGAGAGGAUGAUCAGUCACACUGGAACUGAGACACGGUCCAGACUCCUACGGGAGGCAGCAGUGGGGAAUAUUGGACAAUGGGCGAAAGCCUGAUCCAGCCAUGCCGCGUGUGUGAAGAAGGUCUUCGGAUUGUAAAGCACUUUAAGUUGGGAGGAAGGGCAGUUGCUUAAUACGUGACUGUUUUGACGUUACCGACAGAAUAAGCACCGGCUAACUCUGUGCCAGCAGCCGCGGUAAUACAGAGGGUGCAAGCGUUAAUCGGAAUUACUGGGCGUAAAGCGCGCGUAGGUGGUUUGUUAAGUUGAAUGUGAAAUCCCCGGGCUCAACCUGGGAACUGCAUCCAAAACUGGCAAGCUAGAGUAUGGUAGA
This 605-nucleotide ribosomal RNA is filed under the name Pseudomonas sp. Ia3. RNAcentral describes it as "bacterial SSU rRNA". It matches the Rfam family "Bacterial small subunit ribosomal RNA", at positions 57 to 655 of the family's 1533-position model. The record is from RNAcentral. Lineage: Bacteria; Pseudomonadati; Pseudomonadota; Gammaproteobacteria; Pseudomonadales; Pseudomonadaceae.